UACAGAGGUCUCGAGCGUUGUUCGGAUUCAUUGGGCGUAAAGGGCGCGUAGGCGGCGGGGUAAGUCGGGUGUGAAAUCUCAGAGCUCAACUCUGAAAUGGCACUUGAUACUGCUCUGCUAGAGGACUGGAGAGGAGAUUGGAAUUCACGGUGUAGCAGUGAAAUGCGUAGAUAUCGUGAGGAAGACCGGUGGCGAAGGCGGAUCUCUGGACAGUUCCUGACGCUGAGGCACGAAGGUCAGGGGAGCAAACGGG
This 253-nucleotide ribosomal RNA is filed under the name uncultured bacterium. RNAcentral's name for it is "partial 16S ribosomal RNA". It matches the Rfam family "Bacterial small subunit ribosomal RNA", at positions 524 to 776 of the family's 1533-position model. The record is from RNAcentral.